This 535-nucleotide long non-coding RNA is filed under the name Sorghum bicolor (sorghum). Its description in RNAcentral is "long non-coding RNA (SBIC_LNC009138)". The record is from RNAcentral. Lineage: Eukaryota; Viridiplantae; Streptophyta; Magnoliopsida; Poales; Poaceae.
GACGCUAGUGCCCGGAUCAGACGUCCGAGCGCUAGCAGUACCGACUCCUGUCCUCAGAAUCGAGGGGAGAGAGUCAUCCUCCAUUCACGCUGUCUAGAAAACGAGCAGAGGGGUAAUCAUCAAGUCAUCAUGGGUGCACAACUGUGUGGGGAGAAGAAGAUAGGGGGCAUAAGAGUAGGUACAAUAAUGGGCUUAUAGCCAAGCUAUUGCUAACGUGGAGGAGAGAAGAUAGGAGAGAGAUGAUAGCUUGGCUCUUAUGCAAGCACCUAGCGAGGAAUAGGAAAUAGAAGUUGUUUUAGCGGCAAGUAUGAGACAACUUAGUGUAUAACUUAGCUCUCGACGAGCUCGGUGCAUUGGUCAGAGCAGGAGAGGCGGAUCCAAGCUUGUGGUUGGUGAACUCUGCACUAGGGAAGGGCAAGGCCGAUGAGCAGGAGAAGCAACAGAGAGGCGGCACCUAGUGUGGGUGGCAGAAGGGUGGCGGUGGGCCCAGGAGCAGAGGGUGUGAAGGCUCCUCCUGGGGGCCCGAGCUCAUGGC